CCUACGGGGUGCAGCAGUGGGGAAUAUUGGACAAUGGGCGAAAGCCUGAUCCAGCCAUGCCGCGUGUGUGAAGAAGGCCUUCGGGUUGUAAAGCACUUUCAGUGGGGAAGAAAGCCUUGGGGCUAAUACCCUCGAGGAAGGACAUCACCCACAGAAGAAGCACCGGCUAACUCCGUGCCAGCAGCCGCGGUAAUACGGAGGGUGCGGGCGUUAAUCGGAAUUACUGGGCGUAAAGCGCGCGUAGGCGGUCUGAUAAGCCGGUUGUGAAAGCCCCGGGCUCAACCUGGGAACGGCAUCCGGAACUGUCAGGCUAGAGUGCAGGAGAGGAAGGUAGAAUUCCCGGUGUAGCGGUGAAAUGCGUAGAGAUCGGGAGGAAUACCAGUGGCGAAGGCGGCCUUCUGGACUGACACUGACGCUGAGGUGCGAAAGCGUGGGUAGCAAACAGGAUUAGAUACCCUAGUAGUC
RNAcentral lists this ribosomal RNA (465 nucleotides) under Vreelandella stevensii. RNAcentral describes it as "partial 16S ribosomal RNA". It matches the Rfam family "Bacterial small subunit ribosomal RNA", at positions 338 to 795 of the family's 1533-position model. The record is from RNAcentral. Lineage: Bacteria; Pseudomonadati; Pseudomonadota; Gammaproteobacteria; Oceanospirillales; Halomonadaceae.